GAUGAACGCUGGCGGCGUGCUUAACACAUGCAAGUCGAACGGAAAGGCCCAAGCUUGCUUGGGUACUCGAGUGGCGAACGGGUGAGUAACACGUGGGUGAUCUGCCCUGCACUUCGGGAUAAGCCUGGGAAACUGGGUCUAAUACCGGAUAGGACCACAUUUUGGAUGGUGUGGUGGAAAGUUUUUCGGUGUGGGAUGAGCUCGCGGCCUAUCAGCUUGUUGGUGGGGUAAUGGCCUACCAAGGCGUCGACGGGUAGCCGGCCUGAGAGGGUGUACGGCCACAUUGGGACUGAGAUACGGACCAGACUCCUACGGGAGGCAGCAGUGGGGAAUAUUGCACAAUGGGCGCAAGCCUGAUGCAGCGACGCCGCGUGGGGGAUGACGGCCUUCGGGUUGUAAACUCCUUUCGCUAGGGACGAAGCGAAAGUGACGGUACCUGGAGAAGAAGCACCGGCUAACUACGUG
Molecule: ribosomal RNA, 465 nt
Filed under: uncultured bacterium
Lineage: Bacteria
Description: partial 16S ribosomal RNA
Rfam family: Bacterial small subunit ribosomal RNA
Source: RNAcentral